AAAUUAAAAUUUCAAUCAACUAUAAUACUGGAAACCUUCUCCAUUGAGAUAAUGUGCAUGAAUUGUCGCAAAAAAGUGAAGCAGUACAACAAACUGAAAUGCAAAUGCCUUUUGAAAAUAUUGCAACCACAUCAGACCAACAGUCCUCGCAAACUACUAAUAAAACAAUCGUUUCUAUUAAUCGUGUUAAAGUACUUUCCAUAAACAAUACGCUACAAUGUCAAUCCCAGCAGCUUUCAAUGCUUUAUUCCUGUAAAGAGAACUUGGAGCCAAAUUUAAAUGUAUUCUCGCGCUUCGAAACUGUAAAGAAAACACUUGAGAACCAUGUUCAAGGUACCUCUAUAUUAAAUGCUGAACUUAAAAACUCUUUCAAUGAGUCUCAUAGGAAAACCCUCGUACGUAUCGUACUCAGUCAUAUCGUCGUGACUGAGCUUAUUUCAGCGCAAAACGACAAUUUCUAUCCUCCGGAUGAAAGUAAAAUAUCACUUGCGAAUGCAAUUGUUUCCGAAUUCCCUUCAUUAAAAAAUAAUGUGAAAGGAUAUAAAAGAUAUGAACAUUACUUUGAUCCUAAAACUCGGCAGGGAUUUAUUGAAUAUCGAUUAUGGACAAUCCGCGCAAAACUUUCCUCUAAAGACAAAAAAUACUCUGCAUUAGCAAUGAAGAGAAAAGCACAAUACUUAAAGGAAAGUCCUACAGCUUCAGAUAUCGUGGAUGAAACAUAAGCUACCAUCUGACCAUAAUAAAGAAUUGAUCAAACUCUGUCUUCAAAAAACUUUUCUAAAUAGAAGACAAUGGAUCAUAAACUCCGGCCCUAUUAUAUCAAGCAUUUUUUAAACAUAUCCGCGCCUUUUAGACUAUCAUGAUGAAAUAAUAGAACAAGAUCUUGUUAGUAUUUAUCCGAAUUGUACGAACAAGUUCGUGGCCAAAUUUCCUUCCUUUUAUACUAAUAAAAUUCUUACUAACGCCACAGAAAAUUGAUCAGAUGUUAUAAAGAAGAUUGAAAAUCUCCCUGUUAAUGAUGAUGCUUUUCGAGCUCUGAUCGUUCUGAGUCUCCUUUUGCCUCCAUUAAAUUAUUCAAGAAAAAGAGUACAAAGCA
Mycetomoellerius zeteki is the source of this 1096-nucleotide RNA transcript. RefSeq lists it as uncharacterized. The record is from RefSeq and is a predicted model, not a curated record. Lineage: Eukaryota; Metazoa; Arthropoda; Insecta; Hymenoptera; Formicidae. The transcript has 8 exons.